Molecule: ribosomal RNA, 468 nt
Filed under: uncultured bacterium
Lineage: Bacteria
Description: bacterial SSU rRNA
Rfam family: Bacterial small subunit ribosomal RNA
Source: RNAcentral
UUACCAGACUCCUACGGGAGGCAGCAGUGAGGAAUAUUGGUCAAUGGGCGAGAGCCUGAACCAGCCAAGUCGCGUGAAGGAUGACGGCCCUACGGGUUGUAAACUUCUUUUGUCAGGGAGCAAUUGGGUCCACGCGUGGGCUUAGCGAGAGUACCUGAAGAAAAAGCAUCGGCUAACUCCGUGCCAGCAGCCGCGGUAAUACGGAGGAUGCGAGCGUUAUCCGGAUUUAUUGGGUUUAAAGGGUGCGCAGGCGGAAGAUCAAGUCAGCGGUAAAAUGGAGGGGCUCAACCUCUGCGAGCCGUUGAAACUGGUUUUCUUGAGUGAGUGAGAAGUAUGCGGAAUGCGUGGUGUAGCGGUGAAAUGCAUAGAUAUCACGCAGAACUCCGAUUGCGAAGGCAGCAUACCGGCGCUCAACUGACGCUCAUGCACGAAAGUGUGGGUAUCGAACAGGAUUAGAUACCCCAGUAA